GACGAACGCUGGCGGCGUGCCUAAUACAUGCAAGUAGAACGCUGAAGGAGGAGCUUGCUUCUCCGGAUGAGUUGCGAACGGGUGAGUAACGCGUAGGUAACCUGCCUGGUAGCGGGGGAUAACUAUUGGAAACGAUAGCUAAUACCGCAUAACAGUAGAUGUUGCAUGACAUUUGCUUAAAAGGUGCAAUUGCAUCACUACCAGAUGGACCUGCGUUGUAUUAGCUAGUUGGUGAGGUAACGGCUCACCAAGGCGACGAUACAUAGCCGACCUGAGAGGGUGAUCGGCCACACUGGGACUGAGACACGGCCCAGACUCCUACGGGAGGCAGCAGUAGGGAAUCUUCGGCAAUGGACGGAAGUCUGACCGAGCAACGCCGCGGGAGUGAAGAAGGUUUUCGGAUCGUAAAGCUCUGUUGUAAGAGAAGAACGAGUGUGAGAGUGGAAAGUUCACACUGUGACGGUAGCUUACCAGAAAGGGACGGCUAACUACGUG
RNAcentral lists this ribosomal RNA (495 nucleotides) under uncultured bacterium. Its description in RNAcentral is "partial 16S ribosomal RNA". It matches the Rfam family "Bacterial small subunit ribosomal RNA", at positions 28 to 507 of the family's 1533-position model. The record is from RNAcentral.